This 479-nucleotide ribosomal RNA is filed under the name uncultured Bacteroidota bacterium. RNAcentral describes it as "bacterial SSU rRNA". It matches the Rfam family "Bacterial small subunit ribosomal RNA", at positions 28 to 505 of the family's 1533-position model. The record is from RNAcentral. Lineage: Bacteria; Pseudomonadati; Bacteroidota.
GAUGAACGCUAGCGGCAGGCCUAAUACAUGCAAGUCGAACGAUCGUUCUUAGUUUACUAUGAACGGAGUGGCGCACGGGUGCGUAACACGUAUGCAACCUACCUUUAUCUGGGGAAUAGCCUUUCGAAAGGAAGAUUAAUACCGCAUAACAUUAUUGAAUGGCAUCAUUUAAUAAUCAAAGUUCAGGCGGAUAAAGAUGGGCAUGCGCAACAUUAGCUAGUUGGUGAGGUAACUGCUCACCAAGGCUACGAUGUUUAGGGGGUCUGAGAGGAUGAUCCCCCACACUGGUACUGAGACACGGACCAGACUCCUACGGGAGGCAGCAGUAGGGAAUAUUGGGCAAUGGAGGAAACUCUGACCCAGCCAUGCCGCGUGAAGGACGAAGGCCCUAUGGGUCGUAAACUUCUUUUAUAAGGGAAGAAAAAGCGUUACGUGUAACGCUCUGACAUUACCUUACGAAUAAGGAUCGGCUAACUCCG